RNAcentral lists this transfer RNA (65 nucleotides) under Proteus anguinus (olm). RNAcentral's name for it is "tRNA-Cys". The record is from RNAcentral. Lineage: Eukaryota; Metazoa; Chordata; Amphibia; Caudata; Proteidae.
AGCCCCGGCAGAAGACACACUGCUCGUUGAAAUUUGCAAUUUCACAUGCCAAACAUCGCGCGGCU